AGAAACCAACCGGGAUUGCCCUAGUAACGGCGAGUGAAGCGGCAAGAGCUCAAAUUUGAAAGCUGGCUCCUUCGGGGUCCGCAUUGUAAUUUGCAGAGGAUGCUUCGGGAACGGCCCCCAUCUAAGUGCCCUGGAACGGGCCGUCAUAGAGGGUGAGAAUCCCGUCUGGGAUGGGGUGUCCGCGCCCGUGUGAAGCUCCUUCGACGAGUCGAGUUGUUUGGGAAUGCAGCUCUAAUUGGGUGGUAAAUUUCAUCUAAAGCUAAAUAUUGGCCGGAGACCGAUAGCGCACAAGUAGAGUGAUCGAAAGAUGAAAAGCACUUUGAAAAGAGAGUUAAACAGCACGUGAAAUUGUUGAAAGGGAAGCGCUUGCGACCAGACUCGCCCGCGGGGUUCAGCCGGCAUUCGUGCCGGUGUACUUCCCCGCGGGCGGGCCAGCGUCGGUUUGGGCGGCCGGUCAAAGGCCCCUGGAAUGUAACGCCUCUCGGGGCGUCUUAUAGCCAGGGGUGCCAUGCGGCCUGCCCGGACCGAGGAACGCGCUUCGGCUCGGACGCUGGCAUAAUGGUCGUAAGCGACCCGUCUUG
This 581-nucleotide ribosomal RNA is filed under the name Penicillium sp. CBG_III6CCH. Its description in RNAcentral is "eukaryotic LSU rRNA". It matches the Rfam family "Eukaryotic large subunit ribosomal RNA", at positions 60 to 656 of the family's 3401-position model. Lineage: Eukaryota; Fungi; Ascomycota; Eurotiomycetes; Eurotiales; Aspergillaceae. The record is from RNAcentral.